This 517-nucleotide ribosomal RNA is filed under the name Rhamphosipyloidea gorkomi. Its description in RNAcentral is "partial 16S ribosomal RNA". It matches the Rfam family "Bacterial large subunit ribosomal RNA", at positions 1829 to 2608 of the family's 2925-position model. The record is from RNAcentral. Lineage: Eukaryota; Metazoa; Arthropoda; Insecta; Phasmatodea; Lonchodidae.
UCUUUUCUAGUUAUUUUAUUUGAGAUUUGACCUGCCCAAUGAUAUUAUUAAAUGGCCGCGGUAUUUUGACCGUGCAAAGGUAGCAUAAUCAUUAGUCUAUUAAUUGUGGACUUGUAUGAAUGGUUGGACGAAAUAUUAACUGUCUCAUAUUAAUUAAUGUAAUUUAAAUUUUGAGUUAAAAUGCUUAAAUUUUUUUAUAGGACGAGAAGACCCUAUAGAUCUUUAUUUUUGAAAAUAUUAUUUUAUUUUGGUUAUUUUUUUAUGAUUUUUUUAAUUAUUUUGUUGGGGUGACAUAGAUAUAUAUUUAACUAUUUAUUAUUAUUAUUCAAUUAUUUUUGUUUAUUUGACCUUUUAUUAUUGUUAUAAGAUUAGAUACCUUAGGGAUAACAGCGUAAUUCCUUUUGAGAGUUCAUAUCGACAAUGGAGAUUGCGACCUCGAUGUUGGAUUAAGAUUAUAUUUAGGUGUAGGUGCUUAAAUAUUAAGUCUGUUCGACUUUUAAAUUCUUACAUGAUCUGA